Dipodomys ordii (Ord's kangaroo rat) is the source of this 100-nucleotide small nuclear RNA. Lineage: Eukaryota; Metazoa; Chordata; Mammalia; Rodentia; Heteromyidae. The record is from Ensembl.
AUGCUUCAGCAGGACGUUUACCCAAAUUACUACAAUAUAGAGAUUAUCAUGGCACUUACACAAGGAUGAUAUGAAAAUUUGUGAAAUAUUCCAUAUUUUU